GUUGGGGGAGGAUUAUAGGGAGAGGGAGAGAGGGAAUCUCAAGGCAGACUCCCUACUGAGCAUGGGGCAGGCACAGGGCUCGAUCUCAUGACCCUGAGAUCAUGACCUGAGCCGAAAUCAAGAGUCAUGCACUUAACUGACUGAGCCACCCAGGUGCCCUUAAGUUGUCAUUUUUAAUAUUAACACAAAGACAUGAUACCAAGAAGGAAACCUAAAGAGAAUUGUUCAAGACCUAGGUGUACAUAAUUAUAACAUGUUCUGCAGGAUAUAAAAGGAAGACUGGAAAAAUGAAGAGAGCUACUUGGUUCUUGCAUAGAACUACAGAAGCCUGGGGAAUAGGGAAACAAUGGUUGCCUCCGAGAGAAGGAACUCAGAGGCACCACACUUAGUUUUCAAGGCCAUGUGCAAGCUAUCUCUGAGCAAAUGGGACAUUUUUGAACCUUUGUCAAGCAACAUGCUGCAGAUAACAAAAUGUACAUGCUGGGACUGAUGAAAUUCUGCAAAGGAACAAUGCAAUGAAUGUCAACAUAGGAUACUACUGCUUCUAAUGAGUAGAGAAUUCCACAAGACUGGCUGCCAUCUUGUCCAUGUAGCUUUUUUGGCUUGGAAAAGUGUCUCCUAUAUAUGUAACUGCACUUCAAAAAGAAAUAUUUGAAAGUACAGAAAGACAUAAAAUUAAAAGUGAGUUUUCCUAUCAACUCCUCCUGCUGCUUUCUUCCAUAAAACUAAAUACUAACCUUUCUAUUAAUCUAUCAACAAUAAAUAUUUCUACUGGCUUCCA
Molecule: long non-coding RNA, 781 nt
Filed under: Vulpes vulpes (red fox)
Lineage: Eukaryota; Metazoa; Chordata; Mammalia; Carnivora; Canidae
Description: lncRNA (ENSVVUG00000018538.1)
Source: RNAcentral